This 306-nucleotide ribosomal RNA is filed under the name Acinetobacter baumannii. Its description in RNAcentral is "bacterial SSU rRNA". It matches the Rfam family "Bacterial small subunit ribosomal RNA", at positions 961 to 1267 of the family's 1533-position model. Lineage: Bacteria; Pseudomonadati; Pseudomonadota; Gammaproteobacteria; Moraxellales; Moraxellaceae. The record is from RNAcentral.
GCGAAGAACCUUACCUGGUCUUGACAUCCACAGAACUUUCCAGAGAUGGAUUGGUGCCUUCGGGAACUGUGAGACAGGUGCUGCAUGGCUGUCGUCAGCUCGUGUUGUGAAAUGUUGGGUUAAGUCCCGCAACGAGCGCAACCCUUAUCCUUUGUUGCCAGCGGUUCGGCCGGGAACUCAAAGGAGACUGCCAGUGAUAAACUGGAGGAAGGUGGGGAUGACGUCAAGUCAUCAUGGCCCUUACGGCCAGGGCUACACACGUGCUACAAUGGCAUAUACAAAGAGAAGCGACCUCGCGAGAGCAAG